This 21-nucleotide non-coding RNA is filed under the name Arabidopsis thaliana (thale cress). Lineage: Eukaryota; Viridiplantae; Streptophyta; Magnoliopsida; Brassicales; Brassicaceae. The record is from RNAcentral.
GGCGGGUGGAAUCGAUGCCCA